Molecule: ribosomal RNA, 215 nt
Filed under: uncultured Thiofaba sp.
Lineage: Bacteria; Pseudomonadati; Pseudomonadota; Gammaproteobacteria; Chromatiales; Halothiobacillaceae
Description: partial 16S ribosomal RNA
Rfam family: Bacterial small subunit ribosomal RNA
Source: RNAcentral
CAGAAGGAACGAUCCUACGGGAGGCAGCAGUGGGGAAUAUUGGACAAUGGGCGAAAGCCUGAUCCAGCAAUGCCGCGUGUGUGAAGAAGGCCUGCGGGUUUUGUAAAGCACUUUUUAAGUGGGGAAGAACGGGAUUUUGUGCUAAUACCGCGAUCCUUUUUUUUGACGUUUUACCCACAGAAUAAGCACCGGCUAACUCCGUGCCAGCAGCCGCG